Molecule: long non-coding RNA, 193 nt
Organism: Cebus imitator (Panamanian white-faced capuchin)
Lineage: Eukaryota; Metazoa; Chordata; Mammalia; Primates; Cebidae
Exons: 3
Source: RefSeq, a predicted model, not a curated record
UGAGCCACAUCCCUGCUUCACUACAUAACUGGUUACUUAGCAGCGCUGUCUGAAUUGGACUAGUGUUCUCUAAGCUUCUGGAGGGAGAGGACAGGGCUUAAAAGAAAAGUGAAGGUGGUGUUUGCUUAUGCCAUUAUCUAAGAGUGCUCCCUAGUCACUAUAUGAGGCAUAAUCAAGAAGAAAAUAUCUCCAG